GGUUUGAGAUGUUUUACUGUAACAGAUGGUAGGAUGCUGCUUCACUUGUAUAUAUUUUUUGAAAAGGGGAUGCUUACAGGAUUUACUAUUUAAUAUCCUACUGCCCUUGUGUAUCCAGAAAGAGUCAUAAAUUGAGAUUCCUUACGAGUGAUAAGCCUGUCUUCUUCAGAAAUUUGGUUAUUCUUUUGAGUGUACUUCACACCAAAGAGGGGCGCGUUGUAUCGAUAUUUUCUUGAAUUAUAAAUUAAGUACUCUUUUGCUACUACUAGGCUAUAAUGACUUGCUUGUUACAGGGGUCAUAUCUGGGGCGCUCCUGUAUAUUAAAGAUGAUUUUGAGGCUGUCAAUGAGAGUAGCUUUCUACAGGAAACUAUUGUCAGCAUGGCUUUGGUUGGCGCAAUGAUUGGAGCUGCUUCAGGGGGUUGGAUUAAUGAUUCUUAUGGACGUAAAAAAGCUACCCUUUUAGCUGAUGUUGUUUUUGCAGUUGGAGCAGUAGUAAUGGCUACCGCACCUGAUCCUUAUGUCCUCAUUGUUGGUCGGCUUCUGGUUGGACUGGCGUUGGUGUUGCCUCUGUUACUUGUCCUGUAUAUAUUGCAGAAGCUUCACCAUCAGAAAUAAGGGGAGGCCUUGUUAGGACUAAGGUGCUUAUGAUAACUGGUAGACAGUUCCUCUCAUACCUUAUAAAUCUUGCAUUCACAGAGGUCAGGCUUACGUUGCUUUGCUAUUUGUCAAUUUGUUAUCAUAAUCAUCUGUGAUUUGCGGGUUGAUGGUUGUCCUGUUUCGAAAGCCAUAAAUAAUGGUUAAAUGGUCGUCUCAUGCCAACUUAUUCAUCACAGAGAAUGCUAAAUGGAAAUGAAUUUUUCUCACUGUUUAGUGAGACUUCCUCGA
Eucalyptus grandis is the source of this 886-nucleotide long non-coding RNA. RefSeq lists it as uncharacterized. The transcript is spliced from 2 exons. The record is from RefSeq and is a predicted model, not a curated record. NCBI's taxonomy places the organism in Eukaryota, Viridiplantae, Streptophyta, Magnoliopsida, Myrtales, Myrtaceae.